AGCCUUUAGCAAUAAUAGUAUUAAAGGUGACGCCUGCCCAGUGAUAUAUUAAACGGCCGCGGGAUCCUCCACCGUGCAAAGGUAGCAUAAUCACUUGUCCCCUAAAUAGCGACUAGUAUGAAUGGCCAAAUGAAGAUUUCCCUGUCUCUUGCAGCCGAUCUAUGAAACUGAUCUUUCAGUACAAAAGCUGAAAUAUAAACACAAGACGAAAAGACCCUGUGGAACUUUCAAGUAUUAGUUAUAACAUAAUAAACCACUUUUAGUUGGGGCAACUUUGGAAAUAAACAAAACUUCCAAUAUAUAACCAAGGUAAACAUACCUAAGUUUUCUACUUUACGACCCAGUACCACUGAUAAAAGAAACAAGCUACCCCAGGGAUAACAGCGCCAUCCCCUCUUAGAGUCCCCAUCGAUGAGCGGGGCUUACGACCUCGAUGUUGGAUCAGGGCCCCCAAACAGUGCAGCCGCUGUUAACGGUUUGUUUGUUCAACAAUUAAUGCCCU
RNAcentral lists this ribosomal RNA (502 nucleotides) under Riolama leucosticta. Its description in RNAcentral is "partial 16S ribosomal RNA". It matches the Rfam family "Bacterial large subunit ribosomal RNA", at positions 1817 to 2597 of the family's 2925-position model. The record is from RNAcentral. Lineage: Eukaryota; Metazoa; Chordata; Lepidosauria; Squamata; Gymnophthalmidae.